Molecule: long non-coding RNA, 627 nt
Organism: Sapajus apella (tufted capuchin)
Lineage: Eukaryota; Metazoa; Chordata; Mammalia; Primates; Cebidae
Exons: 3
Source: RefSeq, a predicted model, not a curated record
UUUCCCCUCACAGUAUAAACAAGGCACAGAGAAGCUCAAACUGGGUGGAGUCCACUGCAGCUCUGCAUAGCUACUGUAGCCAGACUGCCUCUCUAGAUUACUCUCUCUGAGCAGGGCAUCUCUGAAAGAAAGGGAGUAGUCAAGUCAAAGGUUUAUAGAUAAAACUUCCAUUUCCCUGGGACAGAGCACCUGGGGGGAAGGGGUGGCUAUAGGUGCAGCUUCAGUUAACUUAAAUGUUCUUGCCUGCCAGCUCUGGAGCAGCAGAUUUCCCAGCACAGUGUUCAAGCUCUGCUAAGGGACAGACUGCCUCCUCACGUGGGUCCAUGACCCCCAUGCCUCCUGACUGGGAGACACCUCCCAGCAGGGGUUGACAGACACCUCAUGCAGGACAGCUCUGGCUCGCAUCUGGUGGGUGCCUCUCUGAGGCAAAAGUUCCAGAGGAAGGAAUAAGCAGUAAUCUUUGCAGUUCUGCACCCGUCACUGGUGAUACCCAGGCAAACAGGGCCUGGAGUAGACCUCCAGCAAACUCCAGCAGACCUGCAGCAGGUAGAUAAAUCCAUGAAGAUGAGGAGAAACCAGUGCAAAAACGCUGAACAUUCCAAAAGCCGGAAUGCCUCUUCUCCUCCA